RNAcentral lists this ribosomal RNA (1715 nucleotides) under Pseudomonas syringae pv. pisi. RNAcentral describes it as "bacterial LSU rRNA". It matches the Rfam family "Bacterial large subunit ribosomal RNA", at positions 1223 to 2925 of the family's 2925-position model. Lineage: Bacteria; Pseudomonadati; Pseudomonadota; Gammaproteobacteria; Pseudomonadales; Pseudomonadaceae. The record is from RNAcentral.
AUAUGGUAGGAGAGCGUUCUGUAAGCCUGCGAAGGUGUCUUGUAAAGGAUGCUGGAGGUAUCAGAAGUGCGAAUGCUGACAUGAGUAGCGAUAAUGCGGGUGAAAAGCCCGCACGCCGUAAGCCCAAGGUUUCCUGUUCAACGUUCAUCGGAGCAGGGUGAGUCGGCCCCUAAGGCGAGGCAGAGAUGCGUAGCUGAUGGGAAGCAGGUUAAUAUUCCUGCACCGUCGUAUGAUGCGAUGGGGGGACGGAUCGCGGAAGGUUGUCUGACUGUUGGAAUAGUCAGUUUUUGACUCAUAGAAGGUGCUUAGGCAAAUCCGGGCACGUAAUUCAAGGGGUUGAGACGAGUCGCCACGUGCGACGAAGCAAUCGGAAGUGGUUCCAAGAAAAGCCUCUAAGCUUCAGUCAUACGAGACCGUACCGCAAACCGACACAGGUGGGCGAGAUGAGUAUUCUAAGGCGCUUGAGAGAACUCGGGAGAAGGAACUCGGCAAAUUGGUACCGUAACUUCGGGAUAAGGUACGCCCUAGUAAUUUGACCACUUUACUGUGGAAGGAUGAACGGGUUGCAAUAAAAUGGUGGCUGCGACUGUUUAAUAAAAACACAGCACUCUGCAAACACGAAAGUGGACGUAUAGGGUGUGACGCCUGCCCGGUGCUGGAAGAUUAAAUGAUGGGGUGCAAGCUCUUGAUUGAAGUCCCAGUAAACGGCGGCCGUAACUAUAACGGUCCUAAGGUAGCGAAAUUCCUUGUCGGGUAAGUUCCGACCUGCACGAAUGGCGUAACGAUGGCCACACUGUCUCCUCCCGAGACUCAGCGAAGUUGAAAUGUUUGUGAUGAUGCAAUCUACCCGCGGCUAGACGGAAAGACCCCAUGAACCUUUACUGUAGCUUUGCAUUGGACUUUGAAUCAAUCUGUGUAGGAUAGGUGGGAGGCUUUGAAGCGGGGACGCCAGUUCUCGUGGAGCCAUCCUUGAAAUACCACCCUGGUUCAUUUGAGGUUCUAACCUUGGUCCGUUAUCCGGAUCGGGGACAGUGCAUGGUAGGCAGUUUGACUGGGGCGGUCUCCUCCUAAAGUGUAACGGAGGAGUUCGAAGGUACGCUAGGUACGGUCGGACAUCGUGCUAAUAGUGCAAUGGCAUAAGCGUGCUUAACUGCGAGACCGACAAGUCGAGCAGGUACGAAAGUAGGACAUAGUGAUCCGGUGGUUCUGUAUGGAAGGGCCAUCGCUCAACGGAUAAAAGGUACUCUGGGGAUAACAGGCUGAUUCCUCCCAAGAGUUCAUAUCGACGGGGGAGUUUGGCACCUCGAUGUCGGCUCAUCACAUCCUGGGGCUGUAGCCGGUCCCAAGGGUAUGGCUGUUCGCCAUUUAAAGUGGUACGUGAGCUGGGUUUAAAACGUCGUGAGACAGUUUGGUCCCUAUCUGCCGUGGGCGUUGGAAAUUUGAAGGGGGCUGCUCCUAGUACGAGAGGACCGGAGUGGACGAACCUCUGGUGUACCGGUUGUCACGCCAGUGGCAUUGCCGGGUAGCUAAGUUCGGAAGAGAUAACCGCUGAAAGCAUCUAAGCGGGAAACUUGCCUUGAGAUGAGAUUUCCCGGAGCCUUGAGCUCCUUGAAGGGUCGUUCGAGACCAGGACGUUGAUAGGCUGGGUGUGGAAGUGCAGUAAUGCAUUAAGCUAACCAGUACUAAUUGCCCGUACGGCUUGUCCCUAUAACCUU